Molecule: ribosomal RNA, 568 nt
Filed under: uncultured bacterium
Lineage: Bacteria
Description: partial 16S ribosomal RNA
Rfam family: Bacterial small subunit ribosomal RNA
Source: RNAcentral
UGGGGAAUAUUGCACAAUGGGCGCAAGCCUGAUGCAGCCAUGCCGCGUGUGUGAAGAAGGCCUUCGGGUUGUAAAGCACUUUCAGCGAGGAGGAAGGUGGUGAACUUAAUACGUUCAUCAAUUGACGUUACUCGCAGAAGAAGCACCGGCUAACUCCGUGCCAGCAGCCGCGGUAAUACGGAGGGUGCAAGCGUUAAUCGGAAUUACUGGGCGUAAAGCGCACGCAGGCGGUUUGUUAAGUCAGAUGUGAAAUCCCCGGGCUCAACCUGGGAACUGCAUUUGAAACUGGCAAGCUAGAGUCUCGUAGAGGGGGGUAGAAUUCCAGGUGUAGCGGUGAAAUGCGUAGAGAUCUGGAGGAAUACCGGUGGCGAAGGCGGCCCCCCUGGACGAAGACUGACGCUCAGGUGCGAAAGCGUGGGGGGCAAACAGGAUUAGAUACCCUGGUAGUCCACGCUGUAAACGAUGUCGAUUUGGAGGUUGUGCCCUUGAGGCGUGGCUUCCGGAGCUAACGCGUUAAAUCGACCGCCUGGGGAGUACGGCCGCAAGGUUAAAACUCAAAUGAAUUGAC